This 433-nucleotide ribosomal RNA is filed under the name uncultured bacterium. RNAcentral describes it as "partial 16S ribosomal RNA". It matches the Rfam family "Bacterial small subunit ribosomal RNA", at positions 29 to 507 of the family's 1533-position model. The record is from RNAcentral.
AACGAACGCUGGCGGCAUGCCUAACACAUGCAAGUCGAACGAGACCUUCGGGUCUAGUGGCGCACGGGUGCGUAACGCGUGGGAACAUGAACUUAGGUUCGGAAUAACUCCCCGAAAGGGGUACUAAUACCGGAUAAUGUCUACGGCCGAAAGAUUUAUCGAAUUUGGAUGGACGCGCGUUGGAUUAGGUAGUUGGUAGGGUAAAAGACUACCAAGGCGACAAUCCAUAGCUGGUCUGAGAGAAUGAUCAGCCACACUGGGACUGAGACACGGCCCAGACUCCUACGGAAUGCAGCAGUGGGGAAUAUUGGACCAUGGGCGAAAGCCUGAUCCAGCAAUGCCGCGUGAGCGAUGAAGGCCUUAAGGUUGUAAAGCGCUUUUACCCGUGAUGAUAAUGACAGUACCGGGAGAAUAAGCUCCGGCUAACUCCGUG